GAGCGGCGAACGGGUGAGUAAUACAUCGGAACGUGUCCUCUCGUGGGGGAUAACCAGUCGAAAGACUGGCUAAUACCGCAUGAGCUGAGAGAGGAAAGCGGGGGACCGCAAGGCCUCGCGCGAGAGGAGCGGCCGAUGUCCGAUUAGCUAGUUGGUGGGGUAACGGCUCACCAAGGCGACGAUCGGUAGCUGGUCUGAGAGGACGACCAGCCACACUGGGACUGAGACACGGCCCAGACUCCUACGGGAGGCAGCAGUGGGGAAUUUUGGACAAUGGGCGCAAGCCUGAUCCAGCCAUGCCGCGUGUGUGAAGAAGGCCUUCGGGUUGUAAAGCACUUUCGGACGGAACGAAAUCGCGCGGGUGAACAAUCCGCGUGGAUGACGGUACCGUAAGAAGAAGCACCGGCUAACUACGUGCCAGCAGCCGCGGUAAUACGUAGGGUGCGAGCGUUAAUCGGAAUUACUGGGCGUAAAGUGUGCGCAGGCGGCCUCGCAAGUCAAGUGUGAAAUCCCCGAGCUCAACUUGGGAAUUGCGCUUGAAACUACGGGGCUCGAGUGUGGCAGAGGGAGGUGGAAUUCCACGUGUAGCGGUGAAAUGCGUAGAGAUGUGGAGGAACACCGAUGGCGAAGGCAGCCUCCUGGGCCAACAC
RNAcentral lists this ribosomal RNA (650 nucleotides) under uncultured bacterium. RNAcentral describes it as "bacterial SSU rRNA". It matches the Rfam family "Bacterial small subunit ribosomal RNA", at positions 93 to 740 of the family's 1533-position model. The record is from RNAcentral.